Molecule: ribosomal RNA, 301 nt
Filed under: uncultured bacterium
Lineage: Bacteria
Description: partial 16S ribosomal RNA
Rfam family: Bacterial small subunit ribosomal RNA
Source: RNAcentral
CAGUCGCCGCGGUAAUACGAAGGGUGCAAGCGUUAAUCGGAAUUACUGGGCGUAAAGCGUGCGUAGGUGGUGGUUUAAGUCCGUUGUGAAAGCCCUGGGCUCAACCUGGGAAUUGCAGUGGAUACUGGGUCACUAGAGUGUGGUAGAGGAUAGUGGAAUUUCCGGUGUAGCAGUGAAAUGCGUAGAGAUCGGAAGGAACAUCUGUGGCGAAGGCGACUAUCUGGGCCAACACUGACACUGAGGCACGAGAGCGUGGGGAGCAAACAGGAUUAGAUACCCGUGUAGUCCCUGUCUCUUAUAU